Molecule: ribosomal RNA, 253 nt
Filed under: uncultured bacterium
Lineage: Bacteria
Description: partial 16S ribosomal RNA
Rfam family: Bacterial small subunit ribosomal RNA
Source: RNAcentral
UACGUAGGGGGCAAGCGUUGUCCGGAAUUAUUGGGCGUAAAGAGCUCGUAGGUGGCCAACUAAGUCGGACGUGAAAUCCCUCAGCUUAACUGGGGAACUGCGUCCGAUACUGGAUGGCUCGAGUUUGGGAGAGGGAUGCGGAAUUCCAGGUGUAGCGGUGAAAUGCGUAGAUAUCUGGAGGAACACCGGUGGCGAAGGCGGCAUCCUGGACCAACACUGACACUGAGGAGCGAAAGCCAGGGGAGCAAACGGG